This 497-nucleotide ribosomal RNA is filed under the name uncultured bacterium. RNAcentral's name for it is "partial 16S ribosomal RNA". It matches the Rfam family "Bacterial small subunit ribosomal RNA", at positions 28 to 507 of the family's 1533-position model. The record is from RNAcentral.
GAUGAACGCUGGCGGCGUGCCUAAUACAUGCAAGUCGAGCGAACGGACGAGAAGCUUGCUUCUCUGAUGUUAGCGGCGGACGGGUGAGUAACACGUGGAUAACCUACCUAUAAGACUGGGAUAACUUCGGGAAACCGGAGCUAAUACCGGAUAAUAUUUUGAACCGCAUGGUUCAAAAGUGAAAGACGGUCUUGCUGUCACUUAUAGAUGGAUCCGCGCUGCAUUAGCUAGUUGGUAAGGCAACGGCUUACCAAGGCAACGAUGCAUAGCCGACCUGAGAGGGUGAUCGGCCACACUGGAACUGAGACACGGUCCAGACUCCUACGGGAGGCAGCAGUAGGGAAUCUUCCGCAAUGGGCGAAAGCCUGACGAAGCAACGCCGCGUGAGUGAUGAAGGUCUUCGGAUCGUAAAACUCUGUUAUUAGGGAAGAACAUAUGUGUAAGUAACUGUGCACAUCUUGACGGUACCUAAUCAGAAAGCCACGGCUAACUACGUG